GCUUGAAUGACUUUGAUGAGUAUAGGGAUUACAAGAGUUGAUCUACCUCGAGAUCGUAAUGGCUAAACCCUAGAUGUCUAGCCUAUAUGAUUGUGAUUGCCUCUACGGACUAAACCCUUCGGUUUAUAUAGACACCGGAGGGGCCUAGGGUUGUACAGAGUCGGUUUACAGGGAAAGGAAUCUUCACAUCCGAAUGUCAAACUUGCCAUCCACGCAAAGGAGAGUCCCAUCCAGACACGGGGGAAGGCCUUCUAUCUUGUAUCUUCACAGCCCAUUAGUCCGGUCCAUGUCACACAUAGCCCGGACGCCCGGGGACCCCUAAUCCAUGACUCCCAACACCGUGAGUUGCCAAUCAGAGCAUGCGUCGCUCACCCAUUGUAGCAUCGCCACGAGUCGGUCGUAGCAUUCCACCAUGCCGCUCCCAGCACCGACGGGUGUUGGUCGCCACCGGUCCAAACAUGGUGGCAACGGCUUGUAGCACCACGACGUCCCGGUCGUAGUAGUGCGCGACGCUGGUCGCAACCCUGUCCACCACAAUUGUAGCACCGCGCGACACUGGUUGUAGCAACUCGCGCCGCCACCCGCAACACUGGUGUCUCCCGAGCUUGCCGUUUGCAGUGACGAUGAAUGCACGCAGCAUCUACGCGCCGCCCCUCACAGCAUGCAUAUGGAGAAUAGGGACAAUGAGGUGGGAGGGCAAGGAGAAUGGAGGAGCUCACGUUGAAGGAGAGGUUAU
Molecule: ribosomal RNA, 736 nt
Filed under: Triticum aestivum (bread wheat)
Lineage: Eukaryota; Viridiplantae; Streptophyta; Magnoliopsida; Poales; Poaceae
Description: partial small subunit ribosomal RNA
Source: RNAcentral